Molecule: ribosomal RNA, 468 nt
Filed under: uncultured bacterium
Lineage: Bacteria
Description: partial 16S ribosomal RNA
Rfam family: Bacterial small subunit ribosomal RNA
Source: RNAcentral
GACGAACGCUGGCGGCGUGCUUAACACAUGCAAGUCGAACGGAAAGGCCCUGCUUUUGUGGGGUGCUCGAGUGGCGAACGGGUGAGUAACACGUGAGUAACCUGCCCUUGACUUUGGGAUAACUUCAGGAAACUGGGGCUAAUACCGGAUAGGAGCUCCUGCUGCAUGGUGGGGGUUGGAAAGUUUCGGCGGUUGAGGAUGGACUCGCGGCUUAUCAGCUUGUUGGUGGGGUAGUGGCUUACCAAGGCUUUGACGGGUAGCUGGCCUGAGAGGGUGACCGGCCACAUUGGGACUGAGAUACGGCCCAGACUCCUACGGGAGGCAGCAGUGGGGAAUAUUGCACAAUGGGCGGAAGCCUGAUGCAGCAACGCCGCGUGCGGGAUGACGGCCUUCGGGUUGUAAACCGCUUUCGCCUGUGACGAAGCGUGAGUGACGGUAAUGGGUAAAGAAGCACCGGCUAACUACGUG